RNAcentral lists this unclassified non-coding RNA (240 nucleotides) under Ascomycota sp. RNAcentral's name for it is "partial contains 5.8S ribosomal RNA, internal transcribed spacer 2, and large subunit ribosomal RNA". The record is from RNAcentral. Lineage: Eukaryota; Fungi; Ascomycota.
CGCACAUUGCGCCCCUUGGUAUUCCGGGGGGCAUGCCUGUUCGAGCGUCAUUUCAACCCUCAAGCUCUGCUUGGUCUUGGGCCGCGCCGGCAACGGCGGGCCUCAAAAACAGUGGCGGCGCCAUCGUGUCCCUCAGCGUAGUAAUUCGUCUCGCUGCUGGGCCCCGGUGGCCGCUGGCCAGCGACCCCCCAUUCUUCCACGGUUGACCUCGGAUCAGGUAGGGAUACCCGCUGAACUUAA